Molecule: ribosomal RNA, 527 nt
Filed under: uncultured bacterium
Lineage: Bacteria
Description: bacterial SSU rRNA
Rfam family: Bacterial small subunit ribosomal RNA
Source: RNAcentral
AGAGUUUGAUCAUGGCUCAGAUUGACGCGCUGGCGGCAUGCCUUACACAUGCAAGUCGAACGGCAGCAUAGGAGCUUGCUCCUGAUGGCGAGUGGCGAACGGGUGAGUAAUAUAUCGGAACGUGCCCUAGAGUGGGGGAUAACUAGUCGAAAGACUAGCUAAUACCGCAUACGAUCUACGGAUGAAAGUGGGGGAUCGCAAGACCUCAUGCUCCUGGAGCGGCCGAUAUCUGAUUAGCUAGUUGGUGGGGUAAAAGCCUACCAAGGCAACGAUCAGUAGCUGGUCUGAGAGGACGACCAGCCACACUGGGACUGAGACACGGCCCAGACUCCUACGGGAGGCAGCAGUGGGGAAUUUUGGACAAUGGGGGCAACCCUGAUCCAGCAAUGCCGCGUGAGUGAAGAAGGCCUUCGGGUUGUAAAGCUCUUUUGUCAGGGGAGAAACGAUGGUAGCGAAUAACUACUACUAAUGACGGUACCUGAAGAAUAAGCACCGGCUAACUACGUGCCAGCAGCCGCGGUAAUAAU